This 2093-nucleotide long non-coding RNA is filed under the name Homo sapiens (human). RNAcentral describes it as "HSALNT0352214". The record is from RNAcentral. Lineage: Eukaryota; Metazoa; Chordata; Mammalia; Primates; Hominidae.
UCUGCCAGGGAGCGUCCUGUGAUGGAGGGGCUGCACUGCCACUUUACUGAUGAGGAAAUUAAGGUUCAGAGAGAUGAGGUCAUUUCUUAGAGGCCAGACAGCCUCCUCAGCCCAUUUAUAAGGUUGUUUCUGUGGUAUUUGCCAUAAAGCCAUAGGUUCAUUGAUUUGUUCUUAAGUAGUUCUGAGCCCUUCCUGCAUAUCAGGCAGGGACAAACAGGAAAGUCCCUGCCUUUGGCAAGUGCGGGGGAAAUGAAAUGAUUCUGCUUAGCCGCAUCCAUUGGUCUGAACAAUCACGUCUCAUGACCGCAGGGACGCGGCUUCCCCUGAAUGCGGAUCCUAGAGGCCAGGCAGAAGCAGCAUGGGUUUCCACUCACACGGUAGGUGGCUGUGCAAUUUCGUCUGGAGUCCCCAGACCCCUCCUCAUCCUUCCCAGGGUUGCUCUGAGGCCAUUCCUCGUCAUCUAGGAGGGGUCUACAUAAAAGCAUUUAUAAACACCUCCAAAUGGGAGCCAGGUGCGCCCACCUUUGGAGCACUUUUCUCUACUGCAGAUCUAUCUACUGCUCAUGAAAUCUCUGGAUUUAACUCUGAUGAAAGACUGGAGGCUGAAGGAGAACUUCAAUAUCAUAUAUUUUAAAGGUUGACUCACAGUUUGGAGCAAGAAUUAAAGAACCACGAACUUCAAGGUAAAACGGGCAACGGCGUUGGGGCAAGCCUCUCUGCACCUGCGUGUCCAGCCUCUCCUGCAUGCCAGAAGUCCCCAGGCAGGAGUGUGGUGGGACAUCCGGCUGGGGUGAUGUAAAAUUCUCAAACAAUGAGAUAGAUAAAAAGUACGCAGCCAAAAAGUUCAAGAAGAAGUGUUAUGGAGAUGGAGCAGGCCCUUCGUAAAAACACGAUGUUGGUUUUCUGGAUUUUGGAGGCCUCACAAAACCUGGAUCAGACUCGCCCACUGCCCUGUGUCUGCCCUCCCGACCACCUCUCCUGCCCAGCAGGGAUGUGGGUGGCAGUGGUGCUGUGUGGAGGGUGGCGGGAGGACGGGGAAGACUGCGACCAGUGAGCCGGGAGGCCUUGGGACAGCCUCUCUCUGAAUCAUCCUGUGCACUGCCAGGUGUGACAAAGGCUCCUAGAAUCCUGCCUCAAGUGGCCGCCUUCACAGAGGGAGUCACUGACGUCCCUGCUCAAUGCAGCCCUGGCAUGUGGGGGUCCCUCUACUCAUGAGAAACCCCCACCCAAUCACCAUGAGAUGAAGAAAUGGGGCCUGGCGAGGAGCAAAGCCCAGAACUGCUACCCACCACCCUCCCUGCCUGGUGCUUUCCUGGGAACAUGUGGGAGCCCCCGACUGGACCUUGGGACCUCCCAUCUGUAAUUGCAGGCCCCAGUCUGCCUGUGUGGAUGUGGAAUGUGUCACUCGGGAUCCUGGAGUCCUCCUGAGCUUGUCCAGCAGGGCUGCAUUCACUGAUGUGCUGACAGAGGCCUAGGCUCGGACCUUUAGGAAUAUCCAAGGCAUCUCAUUAUGCAGAAAACCACCCUCAUGAGGUCCUGGGGGCCUCUCUCCAUCUUCCUGGGGGUGACGCAAUAGAGUGUAACUUCCACGCUGCCGAGACAGGCCAUGAGGGGUUGCCCCCAUUGGAGGGGCAGAGUGGUAUUUGUGGGGUGGUAGGAAUCAUUCAAUGCCCAGCUGCAACCCCCCGGGCUCACAGCACACUCUUAAGGCCAGUGCUACCAGCUCCCUUGGGUGGAUAGAGGAGCUACGGCUCAGAAGCAUGCCCACAGCUCCCCCAGGACCCUGAGGCCAGCCUGUGGCAGGGCCUGUGAUUUGAACCCCUCUACGAGGCUUCAAAUCAGUGCUGUUUGUCCUGGCCUCAUAAAACCUGGCUGCCCAGUUGGGAUUGGUGUCAUCUGCCUUGCUGAACUGGGCACUCCUUGGGAAGAGGGUGGGUGCUGCGAGAAGGCGGUGGAUCCUGGCUGUGCAACCUUCGCAGGUGGCUGAACCUCUCUGUGUCUCAGUUUGCUCAUCUGCAAAGGGGGCUGGGAUUCCUGCCUACCUGCAUGUGCUCAAGAGGGAAAGCCAGCCAGGCAUGGUGGCUCAUGCCUGU